Molecule: microRNA precursor, 90 nt
Filed under: Canis lupus familiaris (dog)
Lineage: Eukaryota; Metazoa; Chordata; Mammalia; Carnivora; Canidae
Also listed under: 1 other name
Description: mir-8799 microRNA precursor family
Rfam family: mir-8799 microRNA precursor family
Source: Rfam by way of RNAcentral
AGGGGAGGCCGGAUCCUGGGCUGUGUCCCCAGAGCCCUGUGCUCCCUGGCCUGCGUUGUUGGAUUCGCAGUCUCGGCUGGGCAGCCCCCU